UACAGGGGGGGCAAGCGUUGUUCGGAAUUACUGGGCGUAAAGGGUUCGUAGGUGGCCAACUAAGUCAGACGUGAAAUCCCUCAGCUUAACUGGGGAUCUGCGUCUGAUACUGGAUGGCUUGAGUGCAGGAGAGGAAUGCGGAAUUCCAGGUGUAGCGGUGAAAUGCGUAGAUAUCUGGAGGAACACCGGUGGCGAAGGCGGCAUUCUGGACUGUAACUGACGCUGAGGAGCGAAAGCAUGGGGAGCGAACAGG
RNAcentral lists this ribosomal RNA (253 nucleotides) under uncultured bacterium. RNAcentral describes it as "partial 16S ribosomal RNA". It matches the Rfam family "Bacterial small subunit ribosomal RNA", at positions 524 to 776 of the family's 1533-position model. The record is from RNAcentral.